AGAGUUUGAUUCUGGCUCAGGAUGAACGCUAGCGGGAGGCUUAACACAUGCAAGUCGAGGGGCAUCACGAGGUAGCAAUACUUUGGUGGCGACCGGCGCACGGGUGAGUAACGCGUAUGCAACCUACCCUGUACAGGGGAUAGCCGAAGAAAUUCGGAUUAAUACCCCAUAAAGAUAUCGAGAGGCAUCUUUUGAUAUUUAAAGUUUCGACGGUACGGGAUGGGCAUGCGUAACAUUAGCUAGUUGGUAGGGUAACGGCCUACCAAGGCGACGAUGUUUAGGGGUCCUGAGAGGGUGAUCCCCCACACCGGUACUGAGACACGGACCAGACUCCUACGGGAGGCAGCAGUGAGGAAUAUUGGUCAAUGGGCGUAAGCCUGAACCAGCCAUCCCGCGUGAAGGAAGAAGGCGCUAUGCGUUGUAAACUUCUUUUCCAGAGGAAUAAAAUUUUGUACGAGUACGGAACUGAAGGUACUCUGGGAAUAAGCAUCGGCUAACUCCGUGCCAGCAGCCGCGGUAAUACGGAGGAUGCGAGCGUUAUCCGGAUUUAUUGGGUUUAAAGGGUGCGUAGGCGGAUUAAUAAGUCAGUGGUGAAAACCUUCAGCUUAACUGGAGACUUGCCAUUGAUACUGUUAGUCUUGAGUACGGUCAAGGUAGGCGGAAUGUGUAAUGUAGCGGUGAAAUGCUUAGAUAUUACACAGAACACCGAUUGCGAAGGCAGCUUACUGGGCCAUUACUGACGCUGAUGCACGAAAGCGUGGGGAGCGAACAGGAUUAGAUACCCUGGUAGUCCACGCCGUAAACGAUGAUCACUCGCUGUUGGCGAUACACAGUCAGCGGCUAAGCAAGAGCAUUAAGUGAUCCACCUGGGGAGUACGGCCGCAAGGCUGAAACUCAAAGGAAUUGACGGGGGCCCGCACAAGCGGAGGAACAUGUGGUUUAAUUCGAUGAUACGCGAGGAACCUUACCUGGGCUUAAAUGUAGAGUGCAUGAGGUAGAAAUACUUCUUUCCUUCGGGACUCUUUGCAAGGUGCUGCAUGGUUGUCGUCAGCUCGUGCCGUGAGGUGUCGGGUUAAGUCCCAUAACGAGCGCAACCCUUAUCGUUAGUUGCCAGCGGGUCAUGCCGGGAACUCUAACGAAACUGCCGGUGUAAACCGUGAGGAAGGUGGGGAUGACGUCAAAUCAGCACGGCCCUUAUGUCCAGGGCUACACACGUGUUACAAUGGCCGGUACAGAGGGCAGCUACCUGGAGACAGGAUGCGAAUCUCCAAAGCCGGUCUCAGUCCGGAUCGGAGUCUGCAACUCGACUCCGUGAAGCUGGAUUCGCUAGUAAUCGCGCAUCAGCCAUGGCGCGGUGAAUACGUUCCCGGGCCUUGUACACACCGCCCGUCAAGCCAUGGAAGUUGGGGGUACCUGAAGUCCGUAACCGUAAGGAGCGGCCUAGGGUAAAACUAGUGACUGGGGCUAAGUCGUAACAAGGUAACCA
RNAcentral lists this ribosomal RNA (1486 nucleotides) under uncultured bacterium. RNAcentral describes it as "bacterial SSU rRNA". It matches the Rfam family "Bacterial small subunit ribosomal RNA". The record is from RNAcentral.